ACACACACACACAACGAGGCAGUCACUGCACAUUUGGCCGAGACCCUAGCUGCAAGUCCGGAUUUGCAGUGUGGAAAAUUACGCCAUUGUAUCUGCCUGUACUAUGACGUACUAAGACGUACUAUGAGCCAGCAUGAAGGAACUUCCCGUACAUCCAACCGGACCUUGCAGCUCUUGCAGCAGCAUUGAGAAGUUCAGGAGUCGACAGAGAAGAAAGAGGCUGAUUGAAGCGGGACAGAUGACAUGGAUCCAUCCUUCCAC
Hippoglossus stenolepis (Pacific halibut) is the source of this 261-nucleotide long non-coding RNA. RefSeq lists it as uncharacterized. The transcript has 3 exons. The record is from RefSeq and is a predicted model, not a curated record. NCBI's taxonomy places the organism in Eukaryota, Metazoa, Chordata, Actinopteri, Pleuronectiformes, Pleuronectidae.